UACGGGGGGGGUAAGCGUUGUUCGGAAUUACUGGGCGUAAAGGGCUCGUAGGCGGCCAACUAAGUCGGACGUGAAAUCCCUCAGCUUAACUGGGGAACUGCGUCCGAUACUGGAUGGCUUGGAUUUGGGAGAGGGAUGCGGAAUUCCAGGUGUAGCGGUGAAAUGCGUAGAUAUCUGGAGGAACACCGGUGGCGAAGGCGGCCUUCUGGACAGCAACUGACGCUGAGACGCGAAAGCGUGGGGAGCAAACAGG
This 253-nucleotide ribosomal RNA is filed under the name uncultured bacterium. RNAcentral's name for it is "partial 16S ribosomal RNA". It matches the Rfam family "Bacterial small subunit ribosomal RNA", at positions 524 to 776 of the family's 1533-position model. The record is from RNAcentral.